CGGUAGAGCUCCUUCCAGGUAUAUCGGUAGAUCUCCUUCCAGGUGUAUCGGUAGAGCUCCUUCCAGGUAUAUCGGUAGAUCUCCUUCCAGGUAUAUCGGUAGAGCUCCUUCCAGGUAUAUCGGUAGAGCUCCUUCCAGGUAUAUCGGUAGAGCUCCUUCCAGGUAUAUCGGUAGAGCUCCUUCCAGGUAUAUCGGUAGAGCUCCUUCGGUUGUUGAUCUUAAAGGUACUGUUUCGGUAUUUAGCAAACACUUAGUAGCAUAAAUUCGAUUUAACGAAAUAUUGGAAUUGCCUUUUGGUGGAGCCUUUUAUCAAAAUCGUAGGCAAAAUUUUAUUACGAAAAUGUUAAUGAAGUCGAUUCUUCAACAUAACGUGUGUACAAAUUCCCAAAACGAAUGGACCUGCGUCGCUUUCUUUUUACUGUAGUUGAAAGCCUAUGUGUCAUCUUUAACAAAGCUGAAUCAGCAUCAACAUAGUGCUGAAUAAAUUAUCCUGCUUGA
This is a long non-coding RNA of Haliotis rubra (blacklip abalone), 498 nucleotides long. RefSeq lists it as uncharacterized. The record is from RefSeq and is a predicted model, not a curated record. NCBI's taxonomy places the organism in Eukaryota, Metazoa, Mollusca, Gastropoda, Lepetellida, Haliotidae. The transcript is spliced from 2 exons.